CUGUAUGAUUUCAGGUUUUGCAUCUGGUAGUUUCUACAAGCUAAAUAAAUUAAGUCCUGGUCAAUAUUUGGAUGGGAGACCUUCAUGGUAAACCUAGGUGCUGUACAUA
RNAcentral lists this ribosomal RNA (109 nucleotides) under Chelonoidis abingdonii (Abingdon island giant tortoise). The record is from RNAcentral. Lineage: Eukaryota; Metazoa; Chordata; Testudines; Testudinidae.